AUUGAACGCUGGCGGUAGGCCUAACACAUGCAAGUCGAACGGCAGCACAGUAAGAGCUUGCUCUUACGGGUGGCGAGUGGCGGACGGGUGAGGAAUACAUCGGAAUCUACUUUUUCGUGGGGGAUAACGUAGGGAAACUUACGCUAAUACCGCAUACGACCUACGGGUGAAAGCAUGGGAUCUUCGGACCUUGCGCGAUUGAAUGAGCCGAUGUCGGAUUAGCUAGUUGGCGGGGUAAAGGCCCACCAAGGCGACGAUCCGUAGCUGGUCUGAGAGGAUGAUCAGCCACACUGGAACUGAGACACGGUCCAGACUCCUACGGGAGGCAGCAGUGGGGAAUAUUGGACAAUGGGCGCAAGCCUGAUCCAGCCAUACCGCGUGGGUGAAGAAGGCCUUCGGGUUGUAAAGCCCUUUUGUUGGGAAAGAAAAGCAGCAGGUUAAUACCCCGCUGUUCUGACGGUACCCAAAGAAUAAGCACCGGCUAACUUCGUG
Molecule: ribosomal RNA, 492 nt
Filed under: uncultured bacterium
Lineage: Bacteria
Description: partial 16S ribosomal RNA
Rfam family: Bacterial small subunit ribosomal RNA
Source: RNAcentral